UUAUACAGAAAAUAAAAAGGACCUGGAAGACAAGUGUAAUGCAUUAAGAUCUGUGAAAACAACAAAGGAAGCAAAAGUCAAACAGCUGAAGGAGAAAGCAUAUAACCUGGAAGAAUCCUAUGAACAAAGAAAAGUGGCUGCAGAAGAGAAGCUGAAAAUAACACACUGUGAACUAAUGGCAAAGAAGAAUCAGCUGGCACCUGCAGACACACGAGGCAGAAACCAGUGCCUGGAAGACUAGAGAUGCAGAACCUCCAUGGAGAAGUAAGGAGCACCUGGUGACAAGCAGCAGCCUCAUUUCUGCUGCACAGCCUGUUCCUGUGGGUGAUAAUCGUGUGGCCUGGAAAGAACCACAAGCACUAGGGACAGCAGGGCCUUUAGCAGAUCCAGAAACUGGUGCGACCUCUGUGAGCACAGCAGCUCUGAUUGUACCAAGAAUGCAGACAAGGACAAGCUGCUUUUGGUGUUGGUAUUAUCUGGCAGAUGCACAUAGUUGUCACUUCUGCAGGGCAGUGUGGAUCUAUGGGGACCUCCUCCACUAACUGGAAGAUUUGUCUUCCAUGUUCCAUGCAUGCCCCACCUGCAACACUUGGACCUUUAGCAGAUCCAGAAGCAGGUGUCACUCCUGAGAGUGCCACGAAUACUGACUACUGAAACUGCUGAGAAGCACAAGACCGCUAAGUAUGCAAGAGGUCCUGGUCCUGUCCUUGCAGGCCCUGCCCCUGUGGAUCAGUCUUCAUUGCCAAUCAUGUGCUGUGGGCCCCUCUUCCUCCUCCUCCAUCUACUCUAUUUGUUAAGAUGACCUGAACUGGAUGAGUGGUAAAGCAUAUUCGCCUUCUUUGUGAAAGACUGGGUGGGAAUGAUGUAGAGACGGUUGUGAGUCUUGGCACUUCAAGUGACAACCUGCCUGAGGACACUGAACAUACCUUAAGUUUCUCAGGACGUACAUACAAGGGGCGGUGUCAUUUCCCUGUAUUAAGGUGAGCUAUAGGUUUCUCUGCUCAAAAUUAAAGAGGAAAUUUUACACAAAAGCAGACGUAUCAGCAGUACUGGUGGGUAUUUUGGAGACACAGUAUUUUGGGUUCUAUAAAGGAUGUGGUGCACCCCUAACUUUUAGUGCCUCAGGUGUCCUGUGUGACAUGAAGGAUACAUGCAUUAAAUGACACAGACCUUGUGAUCACCAUAAUGGAAGCACCAGUGAAGGAAUUGGGGAAACUUGAAUCACUCAGGAAUAGAAGGGACGUUGUGGACAGUAAGCAGAGUUUGAGGAGGUGCAGAGGGAAGGAGGUUGGGGUCAGUGAAAUGCAG
Long non-coding RNA from Hyaena hyaena (striped hyena), 1308 nucleotides. RefSeq lists it as uncharacterized. The record is from RefSeq and is a predicted model, not a curated record. Lineage: Eukaryota; Metazoa; Chordata; Mammalia; Carnivora; Hyaenidae. The transcript is spliced from 7 exons.